CAUGUAGGCGGAUUGAUAAGUUUGAAGUGAAAUCCUAUAGCUUAACUAUAGAACUGCUUUGAAAACUGUUAAUCUAGAAUGUGGGAGAGGUAGAUGGAAUUUCUGGUGUAGGGGUAAAUCCGUAGAGAUCAGAAGGAAUACCGAUUGCGAAGGCGAUCUACUGGAACAUUAUUGACGCUGAGAUGCGAAAGCGUGGGGAGCAAACA
This 206-nucleotide ribosomal RNA is filed under the name uncultured bacterium. Its description in RNAcentral is "partial 16S ribosomal RNA". It matches the Rfam family "Bacterial small subunit ribosomal RNA", at positions 568 to 774 of the family's 1533-position model. The record is from RNAcentral.